Molecule: long non-coding RNA, 1080 nt
Organism: Acromyrmex echinatior (Panamanian leafcutter ant)
Lineage: Eukaryota; Metazoa; Arthropoda; Insecta; Hymenoptera; Formicidae
Source: RefSeq, a predicted model, not a curated record
GCCGGAUUGAAAUCUCUCAUCCGACCGCAACCAUCAUCUUACAAAACACUCGCCGAGGAUCGCAGACGAACGGUGGAUCGUCUGUGAAGAUGCUGAUAUACUGACUAGGAGAACAUUUUCAUAAACGAUGGGGAAACCGAAAGGAUCGUCCGUCCUCGGCGAAAUGCCGGAUUCGAAACGGAGCAGAGGAAAGACAGAGGAUGGUAUAGCAAUCACAGUAAAAAUGUAUGAAAACAGAAAGCUGCGAGACAAACAUAUUCAAAUAGAAGUCCUAAUUUAAGCGCGUAUUGAGAUAGUAUAAAGAUAGAGGGAAGGAAAGAUAGAGAGGGAGAGACGUAGAGUACUGAUGUUCAAAGUACAAGCAGUAUUCGAAUCACACGCUCGGCGAGGAUGAACAACCGCAUUUCCGCGGCGAUGGAAAAUUUUCAUUCAAAUUACCGCAUCGAACAGCCUCUAAAAUUAUUGGAGAUUAAUAUUGAUGAAUGGUCCGCUCAAUUAUGCCAAUUAAAGAGAUAAUAUUUUCAAAAAGCAUCUGGAUGAAUUGUAUUAAUAAUCAUAAAAUCACAAGAAGAAAUUUGACAUAGUAGCAAGGAUAAUUUCAACAGAUAUGUAUUAAACUAGUCAUUUCCUUUGACGAAUGAACACGUAACAUUCCUGUUGCGAAUCAACGAUUGGAUCUAAAUUCGUUCGAAAACAAACUUUCAAAUAUCGCAGUGAGCGCUAACCGAAUGGAUCCGAGAAAAACCAUGUGCCACUUCAUUCAUUUUUAAGGACCACUCGUAAAGGAGAUGUGAAAUCCGAAAAAUACAAUUGAUGCUUUUGAGCCAAUAUCAACUAAUACAUCGCAAUUCAUCUUAACAGGAAGGACAUUUCACUCGCGAUAAUGCAAUUUUAAUUGCAAAGUGUAAGUAUUUAUAUGUGUAUUGCAAUGUUAAAUUUGCGUGCAAAUAGCUACUUAUGUAUAUAUAAACUGCUAGUGUAGCGUGUGUAAAGAAGACUCAUUAAUUUAAUCGAAAGAAAAAAGCGAGGUCCAAUCUAACAAAGGAUAUAUAAAGAAUAUAGUUCUUUAAUAAAACAAUA